RNAcentral lists this ribosomal RNA (497 nucleotides) under uncultured bacterium. RNAcentral's name for it is "partial 16S ribosomal RNA". It matches the Rfam family "Bacterial small subunit ribosomal RNA", at positions 28 to 507 of the family's 1533-position model. The record is from RNAcentral.
GACGAACGCUGGCGGCGUGCCUAAUACAUGCAAGUAGAACGCUGAAGCUUGGUGCUUGCACCGAGCGGAUGAGUUGCGAACGGGUGAGUAACGCGUAGGUAACCUGCCUGGUAGCGGGGGAUAACUAUUGGAAACGAUAGCUAAUACCGCAUAAGAGUAGAUGUUGCAUGACAUUUGCUUAAAAGGUGCAAUUGCAUCACUACCAGAUGGACCUGCGUUGUAUUAGCUAGUUGGUGAGGUAACGGCUCACCAAGGCAACGAUACAUAGCCGACCUGAGAGGGUGAUCGGCCACACUGGGACUGAGGCACGGCCCAGACUCCUACGGGAGGCAGCAGUAGGGAAUCUUCGGCAAUGGACGGAAGUCUGACCGAGCAACGCCGCGUGAGUGAAGAAGGUUUUCGGAUCGUAAAGCUCUGUUGUAAGAGAAGAACGAGUGUGAGAGUGGAAAGUUCACACUGUGACGGUAUCUUACCAGAAAGGGACGGCUAACUACGUG